ACGCGAGGAACCUUACCAGGUCUUGACAUCCUCUGACACUCCUAGAGAUAGGACGUUCCCCUUCGGGGGACAGAGUGACAGGUGGUGCAUGGUUGUCGUCAGCUCGUGUCGUGAGAUGUUGGGUUAAGUCCCGCAACGAGCGCAACCCUUGAUCUUAGUUGCCAGCAUUCAGUUGGGCACUCUAAGGUGGCUGCCGGUGACAAACCGGAGGAAGGUGGGGAUGACGUCAAAUCAUCAUGCCCCUUAUGACCUGGGCUACACACGUGCUACAAUGGACGGUACAAACGGUUGCCAACCCGCGAGGGGGAGCUAAUCCGAUAAAACCGUUCUCAGUUCGGAUUGUAGGCUGCAACUCGCCUACAUGAAGCCGGAAUCGCUAGUAAUCGCGGAUCAGCAUGCCGCGGUGAAUACGUUCCCGGGCCUUGCACACACCGCCCGU
This 439-nucleotide ribosomal RNA is filed under the name uncultured bacterium. Its description in RNAcentral is "bacterial SSU rRNA". It matches the Rfam family "Bacterial small subunit ribosomal RNA", at positions 959 to 1397 of the family's 1533-position model. The record is from RNAcentral.